RNAcentral lists this unclassified non-coding RNA (400 nucleotides) under uncultured fungus. Its description in RNAcentral is "sequence contains ITS1". The stretch from base 1 to 105 matches the Rfam family "5.8S ribosomal RNA", at positions 50 to 154 of the family's 154-position model. The record is from RNAcentral. Lineage: Eukaryota; Fungi.
AAAAUGCGAUAAGUAGCGUGAAUUGCAGACGCUUUGAACGCCGAAAUUUCGAACGCACAUUGCGCCAUAGGAGUUCUAUCCUAUGGCACAUCUGGUUGAGGGUCGUGAUCAAAAACAGCCAGGAUUGGGCUGUCUUAGAGCUAAUUGGUUGAUCAUCAGGCCGGCACACCUGACUAGUUGCCGGCGGUGUUCUACCAUCAUGCUAUAGAGGGCAUAACCAUUGAUUUAUGGGUGCUUCCUUACCACGCGGACGGGCAGCCAUUCGAUCUGCUAAGGGGUCGGCCGUCAGGUAUUUGAUUAUCGGUCUUUCGGGACUGUAUACCUGUACGGUCUAAACCGACCCAUUCGAAUGGUGAUAGGUCACCGUACGUGCAUGGUAGUUGAUCAAUCGCUUUCCCGA